RNAcentral lists this ribosomal RNA (984 nucleotides) under uncultured bacterium. RNAcentral's name for it is "bacterial SSU rRNA". It matches the Rfam family "Bacterial small subunit ribosomal RNA", at positions 338 to 1354 of the family's 1533-position model. The record is from RNAcentral.
CCUACGGGAGGCAGCAGUGAGGAAUAUUGCACAAUGGGCGCAAGCCUGAUGCAGCGACGCCGCGUGGAUGAUGAAGGCCUUCGGGUUGUAAAGUCCUUUUGCCACUGACGAGAACGGACGGUAGGUGGCGAAUAAGCCCCGGCUAACUACGUGCCAGCAGCCGCGGUAAAACGUAGGGGGCGAGCGUUAUCCGGAGUUACUGGGCGUAAAGGGUGUGUAGGCGGUGCUAUAAGUGGGGUGUGAAACACUCAGGCUAAACCUGGGAGGUGCGCCUCAGACUGUAGGACUAGAGUGGGAUAGAGGGGCGUGGAAUUCCGGGUGGAGCGGUGAAAUGUGUAGAGAUCCGGAGGAACACCAGAGGCGCAAGCGGCGCCCUGGGUCCCAACUGACGCUGAAACACGAAAGCUUGGGGAGCGAACGGGAUUAGAGACCCCGGUAGUCCAAGCCGUAAACGAUGCAAACUCGAUGUCCACUCCCGCAAGGGAGGGGGCGUCACAGCUAACGCGAUAAGUUUGCCGCCUGGGGAGUACGGUCGCAAGACUAAAACUCAAAGGAAUUGACGGGGGCCCGCACAAGUAGCGGAGCGUGUGGUUUAAUUCGAGGCUACACGAAGAACCUUACCCGGGUUUGACAUAGGCGUAGUAGGGAAGCGAAAGCUGACCGACCCGUAAGGGAGCGUCUACAGGUGCUGCAUGGCUGUCGUCAGCUCGUGUCGUGAGAUGUUCGGUUAAGUCCGAAAACGAGCGCAACCCCCGGUGCCAGUUACACGUGUCUGGCGCGACUGCCCGCGAGAAGCGGGAGGAAGGUGGGGAUGACGUCAAGUCAGCAUGGCCUUUAUAUCCGGGGCUACACACACGCUACAAUGGUCGGUACAGUGGGUUGCGAGACCGCGAGGUGGAGCCAAUCCCCCAAGCCGAUCUAAGUUCGGAUUGUACGCUGCAACUCGCCUGCAUGAAGCCGGAGUUGCUAGUACCGCCAUCAGCC